This 369-nucleotide ribosomal RNA is filed under the name Streptomyces sp. S1.ACT.002. Its description in RNAcentral is "bacterial SSU rRNA". It matches the Rfam family "Bacterial small subunit ribosomal RNA", at positions 88 to 457 of the family's 1533-position model. Lineage: Bacteria; Bacillati; Actinomycetota; Actinomycetes; Kitasatosporales; Streptomycetaceae. The record is from RNAcentral.
UGGAUUAGUGGCGAACGGGUGAGUAACACGUGGGCAAUCUGCCCUGCACUCUGGGACAAGCCCUGGAAACGGGGUCUAAUACCGGAUAAUACCUGCCGAGGCAUCUUGGCGGGUUGAAAGCUCCGGCGGUGCAGGAUGAGCCCGCGGCCUAUCAGCUUGUUGGUGGGGUGAUGGCCUACCAAGGCGACGACGGGUAGCCGGCCUGAGAGGGCGACCGGCCACACUGGGACUGAGACACGGCCCAGACUCCUACGGGAGGCAGCAGUGGGGAAUAUUGCACUAAUGGGCGAAAGCCUGAUGCAGCGACGCCGCGUGAGGGAUGACGGCCUUCGGGUUGUAAACCUCUUUCAGCAGGGAAGAAGCGCAAGU